This is a long non-coding RNA of Homo sapiens (human), 869 nucleotides long. NCBI's taxonomy places the organism in Eukaryota, Metazoa, Chordata, Mammalia, Primates, Hominidae. The record is from Ensembl.
CCGAUUUUCCAGGUGCCGUCCGUCACCCCUUUCUUUGACUCAAAAAGGGAACUGGCUGACCCCUUGCGCUUCCCAAGUGAGGCAAUGCCUCGCCCUGCUUAGGCUCGCGCACGGUGCAGGCACCCACUGACCUGCGCCAACUGUCUGGCACUCCCUAGUGAGAUGAACCUGGUACCUCAGAUGGAAAUGCAGAAAUCACCUGUCUUCUGCGUCGCUCACGCUGGGAGCCGUAGACCGGAGCUGUUCCUAUUCGGCCAUCUUGGCUCCUCCACCCGGAUGAUUUUUCUUACUUUCUAUAGUCCUCAUUCUAUAACUUUUGAUCCAAAUUAUUCCAGAGAUUGGAUUAAAAACAAAUGGAUGUGGCAUACAGGGAGCAUCUCAAAUCAUUCAUUCUCACCAGCAGGUCUCAUGUGCUCCGAAACCAACUUGAAGCACUCUCCUUCUUCCUCUAGUUCUUUAGAUCAAGAGGAACUACUUGAAGAGCAGCACUCAACAAAUCUGCACAUCGACCUGGUUUAAAUGCUAAGAUCCUGCCCUUGUAGAUUCGAUGCCAUAAUGAUGAGACUUUCACAAGGUCAAGGGAGAAGUGUGAAAGAGGACUAAUACGUUCCCCAUCAAGCCUCCAGAUGAGAACCCUGUCCUGACCAACAUUUUGAUUGCAGCUUUGCAGAGGACCGAGAUAAACCAUAACUAGACUCCUCACCCAUAGACACUGUGAGAUAAUAAAUGUGUGGUGUUUUAUACUGCUAUAUUUGUAUGCAACUCUGAAAAUUAAUACGUGCUUAACUUUCAUUUAAACUAUGAAAUAUAUUUGAUAAAAAAUAAUAUAUUCAUGUUUUGACAGAAUAAAUAUCUGCAAAAUAACAUAA